RNAcentral lists this ribosomal RNA (515 nucleotides) under uncultured bacterium. RNAcentral's name for it is "partial 16S ribosomal RNA". It matches the Rfam family "Bacterial small subunit ribosomal RNA", at positions 28 to 523 of the family's 1533-position model. The record is from RNAcentral.
GAUGAACGCUGGCGGCGUGCCUAAUACAUGCAAGUCGAGCGAAUGGAUUAAGAGCUUGCUCUUAUGAAGUUAGCGGCGGACGGGUGAGUAACACGUGGGUAACCUGCCCAUAAGACUGGGAUAACUCCGGGAAACCGGGGCUAAUACCGGAUAACAUUUUGAGCCGCAUGGUUCGAAAUUGAAAGGCGGCUUCGGCUGUCACUUAUGGAUGGACCCGCGUCGCAUUAGCUAGUUGGUGAGGUAACGGCUCACCAAGGCAACGAUGCGUAGCCGCCCUGAGGAGGGGAUCGGCCACACUGGGACUGAUACACGGCCAAGACUCCUACGGGAGGCAGCAGUAGGGAAUCUUCCGCAAUGGACGAAAGUCUGACGGAGCAACGCCGCGUGAGUGAUGAAGGCUUUCGGGUCGUAAAACUCUGUUGUUAGGGAAGAACAAGUGCUAGUUGAAUAAGCUGGCACCUUGACGGUACCUAACCAGAAAGCCACGGCUAACUACGUGCCAGCCGCCGCGGUAA